AAAUUACCCACAGGAGUGGACACAUGAACACGAGUGCCCAAAGUCUUAGGAGAGAUAACCAAGAAUCGAGCAAACAGAGAUGAUACAUAUGAAUAAGUAGACCCUGGAUCGAACAAUACCAAAACAUCCCUUCCACCGAUGGAAAUAAUACUUUUGAUGAUGGCUCCGAGGCCAAUGCAUCUGGCUUGACCGGAAGUGCAUAGAAUCUAGCUGCAGCACUGGCUGGCUGGUCUCCAUCCGACUGAGCAGUAGCUAGUUGACCUCUCCCUGCCUGAACUCCACCUCUAGGAAGUCCCCUGCCGGCCUGCCCUCCACCUCUAGGUGGCUGGGUAGCUGGUGCUAAAAUCAUGGGCUGCUAACCUUGCUGCACUACCUUGCCUUGAAGUUUGGGGAAACAUCUCAUCAUGUGACCAGGGUCACCGCACUCAAAACAAUUACAUGGUACGACGACCUGCUGCCCAAAGGGCUGACUCUGAAAACCCAUAGAUGUAGUGGAAGAAGCCUGGAUAGCCGGUGGGCGGUAUGA
Molecule: long non-coding RNA, 526 nt
Filed under: Nicotiana benthamiana
Lineage: Eukaryota; Viridiplantae; Streptophyta; Magnoliopsida; Solanales; Solanaceae
Description: long non-coding RNA (NBEN_LNC040369)
Source: RNAcentral